RNAcentral lists this ribosomal RNA (696 nucleotides) under uncultured Lactobacillus sp. Its description in RNAcentral is "bacterial SSU rRNA". It matches the Rfam family "Bacterial small subunit ribosomal RNA", at positions 28 to 679 of the family's 1533-position model. The record is from RNAcentral. Lineage: Bacteria; Bacillati; Bacillota; Bacilli; Lactobacillales; Lactobacillaceae.
GACGAACGCUGGCGGCGUGCCUAAUACAUGCAAGUCGAACGCGUCUCCGUUAAUGAUUUUAGGUGCUUGACACUUGAAAGAUUUAACAUUGAGACGAGUGGCGAACUGGUGAGUAACACGUGGGUAACCUGCCCUUGAAGUAGGGGAUAACACUUGGAAACAGGUGCUAAUACCGUAUAACAACCAAAACCACCUGGUUUUGGUUUAAAAGACGGCUUCGGCUGUCACUUUAGGAUGGACCCGCGGCGUAUUAGCUUGUUGGUAAGGUAACGGCUUACCAAGGCGAUGAUACGUAGCCGACCUGAGAGGGUAAUCGGCCACAUUGGGACUGAGACACGGCCCAAACUCCUACGGGAGGCAGCAGUAGGGAAUCUUCCACAAUGGACGAAAGUCUGAUGGAGCAACGCCGCGUGAGUGAUGAAGGGUUUCGGCUCGUAAAACUCUGUUGUUGGAGAAGAACAGGUGCCAGAGUAACUGUUGACAUCUUGACGGUAUCCAACCAGAAAGCCACGGCUAACUACGUGCCAGCAGCCGCGGUAAUACGUAGGAGGCAAGCGUUGUCCGGAUUUAUUGGGCGUAAAGCGAGCGCAGGCGGUUUUUUAGGUCUGAUGUGAAAGCCUUCGGCUUAACCGGAGAAGUGCAUCGGAAACCGGGAGACUUGAGUGCAGAAGAGGACAGUGGAACUCCAUGUGUAGC